UCAAAUCAAUAAGAAAAAGUGGCUGCAGUUACAAAUAAGUUACAGUCACCUACAUACAAUGGGAUGAGGCUCUGGGGGACUUCAGGAGGCAGUGAGUAUAUUGUGCAUGUGGAAUGUGAAUCACGGGGGUCAGAAGGUAGACUGGGGUAGGCAGCCCCCAGAUGGCUCCCAGUGACAGCAGCCUCCUCUUAUUCUUGUUCUUGUAUAAUUCCCUCACAUUGAUUGUGGCCUGGAUCUAGUGACUCGCUUCUAACAAAUAGAAUGCCAGAAAGGUGAGUCACUUCUGAGAUUAGGUUAUAAAAAUAGGGUGAAGUCUAUCUUGCUCUCUUGCUUGCUUAUUCUGAGGGGGGCCAGCUGCCUUGUUGUAAGCACCCCACGGACAAGCCCUAUGUGGCAAAGAACUGAGAGUGGCCUCUGGCCAACAGCUAGUGAAGAACUGAGGCUGAAUCUAACAACCCAUGAGGACUUGAAUCCUGCCAACAACCACGUGAGUGAGCUUGAAAACAGAUGAAGCCUUCAGAUGACUGCAGGCUCAGCCAACACCUUAAUUGCAUCCUGUGAGUGACCCAGCUAAGCACUCCCAGAUUCCUGACCCACCUGUGAGACAAUGUUAAGUCAAGUUUUGGAGCAUGUUUAGUUUCCCUCUGGGCCCCACUGACAGUAACUUGGCAAAACUGAAGUACUGACUCACAUGGUCUUAUUGCAAAUGGUGGGCUGGAAGUUCAGCUCUCCUAUUGCUCCACUGACAACAUCCCAGUGAAAGUGUGGCACCAUCUUCGACCACCUUGAUGCCUCUGAUUGGGGAUGUAAGCUUGUCUCCUUGCUCAAUCUGCUGGGGGAACUGGAGCAUUGUCUGCUUCUAUAAGGUAGGGAAUAAAAGGUCAGCUCCCAGACAGACCUACCAAAGUCACCCACAGGGAACUGGAGAGCUGCCUCCCACUUCCAUAGGUUAAGGGGUAGAGUGGAAUAUCAACUUCCUGGUUGGCUCUGCUGAAACUGUGCUGGGGGUUGAGGUUUGGGGAAUGCAGUUGUUCCAUCAGUGUUUGGUUGGACUAGGGAAGAAGCUGAUGAGGUUUUUCAUUGUUGGGCCACACUUUUUUCUAUUCUUUGACUCAGGAAAACAGGCUUUCCAUUGGUCUUUGUUUUGUCUGUGCCUAUUCAUGGUGCAGGGCUGCAGAAUUCUGUAGUGCCUUGUCCGACAUUUAGGAGGAAAUGAGGAAACUAGGGAAUUUACCACAUGUCAUUCCUCAAGUCUUGGGAUCCCUAGGCAGUCUGACUUCUUUCCAACUUUCAAAGUCUUCCUAUGCUUGUUUUUUGUGUUAUAUCCAGGUUUUUCUGAGAGGGCCUAGGAAAAAUGGGACUACUCUAUCUUGGUGGAACCAGAAGUCUCAAAAGGCCAUUUUUAUUUUAUUUUAUUUUUUGAAACAGGGUGUGGCUCUGUUGCCUAGGCUGGAAUGCAGUGUUGUGAUUUAGGCUGACUGCAACCUCUACCUCCUGGGCUCAAGCUAUCCUUCUACCUCAGCCUCCCAAGUAGCUGGGACUACAGGCACAUGCCACCAUGCCCUGCUAAUUUUUUAUAUUUUUUGUAGAGAUGGCGUUUCGCCGUGGUGCCCAGGCUGGUCUUGAACUCCUCGGUUCAAGCAAUCUCCCCACCUUGGCCUCCCAAACUGCUGGGAUUACAGGUGUGAGCCACAGUGCCUGGCCUCAAAAGGCCAUUUUUAAACACUUGCUUUAGUUUACCGCCUAGAGUCUCCUCCAGGUUGUCAAAAGCCAUGAAUCGUGUACUUUAUCAAUUUACAACCCAAACCUUACCCUGCACAGAUGCAUAAGAUAUAUAAACAGGCUGAAUCAAAUACAUAGGAAGACUUCCAGUUUCCAGUUUAUGUAAGGAGUUUGGAAGUCAUCACUCCAUUCUAACCACAAGCAAAAACUGAACAAACUCUUCUUAGAUUUUGUUUUGAGACAGGGUGUCUUUUUGCCUAAGCUGAGUGCGGGGGCACAAUCAUGGCUUACUACAGCCUCGACCUCCUGGGCUCAAGUUAUCCUCCUGCCUCAGCCUCCUGCAUAGCUGGGACUAUAGGCGCACAUCACCUUGCCUGGCUCAUUUUUUGUAGAGGUGUUUUCCACCAUAUUGCUGAGGCCAGUAUUCUUAGAUUCUUCACAGACGUGAGGUCACAGGGCAAACUGCUGCCUCCUAAGCUGGGGGGUCAGAUAAGCAGAUACAGAGAAUUGCAACAUGCUGGAGCAUCAUCUCAGAAACAGAAAUCUCUGAGUGAAGCAGUACUCAUGAGGAAAACCUAAACUGUAAUUGAAGAAAUGCUGAGACUCACAGUGGACAAGUCUGAGAGUUAAAAACCCUAGGAUGGGGCAGUGGGGC
RNAcentral lists this long non-coding RNA (2377 nucleotides) under Homo sapiens (human). RNAcentral's name for it is "HSALNT0035194". Lineage: Eukaryota; Metazoa; Chordata; Mammalia; Primates; Hominidae. The record is from RNAcentral.